This 3240-nucleotide long non-coding RNA is filed under the name Homo sapiens (human). Its description in RNAcentral is "prostate androgen-regulated transcript 1". The stretch from base 1 to 204 matches the Rfam family "Prostate androgen-regulated transcript 1 conserved region 2", at positions 47 to 249 of the family's 249-position model. Lineage: Eukaryota; Metazoa; Chordata; Mammalia; Primates; Hominidae. The record is from RNAcentral.
AAUCACUUAGCUCCUCAUAACAAGUCUAACUGGCUCUGGAAAGCUGAAAGGGCUGCACUGGAACAACACAGAUGAGAUAUUCUACACAUUAAUCUACUUAUCUGGAAUCACUUUGCCUCUAAAGGCCAGAGAAAAAUCACAGCUUCCUUGUCGGAGGGGAAAAGGACAGGUGAUCUGGGGAAAACGCAGCUACACCUGGAGCAAGGUCUCUUCCCGGCUUGGCAAUCUCAGCUGUGCCGGCGCUACGGGACCCGAGCCGUCCCAGAAACCAAAGGGCAGGCACGGCAGCAAACGCCUGAGCCUGCCUUGUACUUCAUGCAGGUUGAACAGAAAUGUUUUCUGAGCAUGUAUUGUUACAGCCCUCUGAGAUGGUAUAAAAGAAUGAAAGAAGACACGACCUGCCUUCCAGGAGUUUCACAAAAAAGAUGGGAUGAACACAGUGUUCACUUCCACCUUCCACCCUUUCACUAUGAAGGACCCUCACCAGAUGGUGGCACCAUGCUCUCGGACUUCCCAGCCUCCAGAACUGGACGGGUAAAUUGAAGCAAAAAGCAGACAAGUUCUAUGGGAUUUGCUGGCAUUGAUUUCCCAGGAUGGCAAAGUGCUAAGAACUAAACCUUUAAAGCUAACAAAAUGUACUGAUGUCUUUGCAAAGUAUCCAAGACCAACAAGAAAGUAAUUUCCCACCUCACCCUACCACCACCCAGAAAAGGAGCACAGAGAUGGGGAAGAGAGUGGCUGCAUCUGGCAUCCAGCCAGAGGAGUCCGUGCAGGGAUUCUGGAUCCCUCUUCCCCCACCCCACUGCCCUUCCCCCUCCACCCCAGCGUUUUGGAGAAGCAAGAAACUGUGAUGAUGCAGCUCCCUCAAGUAUCACAUGAAGAUAGUGGAAAGAGCCUCCUGAGGUAAAUAUGCCAUGUAGACAGAAACAAGCAAUGGCUCAACAGCAAUGUAUGAGGUCCAAGGACCAGGACCAAAGGGAAAAACAGCCAUCUCACCAGACACCUGCCUACGACCAGAUGCGUCAUCUCCAAUAUUAGCUAACUCCCUGGAACCUGGACUCAAGGUGUGAAAUAAAGGUUAAUGGGAAACCGCAGGAGUCAAAAGGAGGGGGCAGGAUUAUUGAGGAUUCAGGCUGUUGAGAAAUGAAAGUUUGGAUCACUCCCCAGAUAAAGAACCUUGACCAUUUAAGGGCAAUGGAAAUACAGAAUAGGCAGUAGAAGAAGGAAGCCAUAGAUACCAACUAUGGCCUCUCAAUCAAUUACAAAACUGAGAAUUCUGACAGUUUUGUGUAUUUCCUCUUUGCAUGUGAUGUAUAUGUGUGUAUUUGUAUAUAUUAACCAUUUUCCUUUUUCUCUCUUCAUUAUUUUAUGAAAGUUGUUGAAUAUAAACUCUACAAUUUAGCCUUUAGGUAAGAGAAUAUUCAGUGGGACUUUGAUUUGAGGAGUAUUUAAGACAGCCAGAUGAGACUACGAUAACUGUUGGAACUGUGUGUCUCCUCAUUUGGGGAAAGGGGUGAGAACUCUGCAUUUCUCUGAAGAACAGAGUUGACUUUGUGUUAUACAGAGUUCAAAUAUAUAUAUAAAAUGGUGCAUGUGGAAGCUAAGAAGCCAAAGGAGUUCACCAAGACAGUUAUCAAUAUAUUGCCUCUCCGCUCCAAAUCCACCCUUCUUUGCCCUGUUCCACGAUACUAAUCUGGCUCCUCGGUCAGCCAGUGCAAUGUCAUCUGUUGCUGGUAGAGUGUAGGGGAGACACUACAAGGUAUAGUAAAGGGGUCAGAUGCGGUGUCUCAUGCCUGUAAUCACAGCCCUUUGGGAGGCAGAGGCAGGAGGAUCACCUGAGGCCAGGAGUUUGAGACCAGCCUGGACAACAUGGUAAAACCCCAUCUCUACUGAAAAUACAAAAUUAGCACGCACCUGUAAUCCCAGCUACUCGGGAGGCUGAGGCAGGAGAAUCACUUGAACCUGGGAGGUGGAGGUUGCAGUGAGCCAAGAUCGCAUCAUUGCACUCCAGCCAGGGAAAAAAGGCAAAACUCUGUCUCAAAAAAAUAAAUAAAUAAAAUAAAAUAAAACAAGGUAUAGCAAAUAAAGGAGCAUUCCUUCUUGAUUCUUCCUGGUUCUUGUUACCUGUGGCCGCCACCAGUGGUGUAUGGGAGAGUCACCCUACAGUGAGUUCCACCAGCACCUAGUGAGGGCUUCCUACUGAGUUUUAUUGUCACCCGAGCAGGCAAUUUCCUUGCCAGCAGUAUGCAGGAGACCCAAUGGUGACCACCUUCCAGUGGGUUUUUCCAGCACCCUAGAAGGCACUUUUUUGACCACAGUGCUGAUCCACUGGCACCCAACAGCCAGUACCCUACUCACCAGGCCUGGCCUGUGGCACCUCAAAGAACUUUUCUAUCCUGCGGGCCACAGCACCACCCUCUCCAACAAGGUCUGAAUCUCAGCCUUCAGGUGUGAAAGACCCUUCCAUGUUUGUUCUUUUCUUGGGUAUCCUCCCUCAGUCCUAGAAGUAGCAGCUCUUCCCUAUGUUUGCUAUUUCUGUGUUAUUUAGCAUACAAUUUACCCCUUUUGUAGUUUAUCACAUUUUGCCAGUUAAUAAUUCUUUAUAGUAAAUGUUCCCUCUUCAAAUUACUAUCUCUCACCAAACACUGACUUCUAUAUCCUCAUCAGACACUGAGUGACACAACCUCCUUCAGAAAAGAAUCCCUUUCACCCUGCCCUUCAUGAUGAACACUCUCAACAAAUUAGGUAUAGCAGGAACAUACCUUGACAUAAUAAAGGCCAUAUAUGACGAGCCCACAGCUAACAUCAUACUGAAUGGGGAAUAACUGAAAGCCUUUCCUCUAAGAACUAGAAUAAGACAAGGACACCUACUCUAAGCACUCUUAUUCGGCAUUAUACUGGAAGUCCUAGCCAGACUUUCUCUUUCCGGAAAGAGAAAGAAAUGAAAGGCAUCCAAACUGGAAAACAGGAUGCCAGCCAGUUGUGGUGGCUCAAGCCUGUAAUCCCAGCACUUCGGGAGGCUGAGGUGGGCAGAUUGCUUGAACCCAGGAGUUCAAAUCCAGACUAGACAACAUGAUGAAACCCUGUCUCUAUGAAAAAUACAAAAAUUAGCCAGGUGUGGUGGCACACACCUGUAGUCCCAACUACUCAGGAGGCUGAGGUGGGAGGAUCACUUGAGCCUGGGAAAUAGAGGAUGCAGUGAGUCAAGAUCACACCAGAGCACUCCAGCCUGGAUGACAG